CCAGUUGCCGAAGACUUUGGCCGCUGUAAUGCUGUUUUCAUUAUGUUGCGUCCGACUCUUCUUAAGAUGUUUUCGCGUAGCAAGGCGCUCUGGCGAUUUAUUAAUGUUGCAGCAACAGCUACCACCAUUGCAAACCCGACACCGACCCACGUUUCCAGCUGUUUCGAAAGGGUUUGCCAAGAAGAAAAACAACAGUCCAACGAAAGGAGAAAAAAACACGAAAAUCAACAACACGCACGCUCCCAACAAAUGGCAGAAACCCUAGGCGGAGGCGUUUUGGGGAGUAAAAAUAAAAUCAAUACAGUAAAAUCAGACCGAACCACGGCGCGAGUACAAAUAAACUCAUGCAAUGGUUAAGUAUGCCAGAAGGCAAUGAAUGCAAAGAGAAAUAAAAGCCACCCCAGCCAGCAUAAGAUACGAGCACAACAUACGUCGGCGGUUUUGGGUGAAAUUCACGACAAAUGUAUUACGUAAAAUAAAACCUACAAAACUGUCGAUACCCAUCGCAAACGCUUGAGAUCUUGGAGUUGUGUGUUGUGUGGUUCCUGUUUUGCCCUGCCAUGCCCUGAUCGGUGAGAAGGUCGAUGAAGCCGUUCCGACGAUCGGGACGAUGCAAGAUUAGACUCGCGUUCAAGGUUACAACAAGAACCGCCUGGAAUGUUUGUUUUCCUGAGCUGGUAAAGUAUUUUCCUUUUGCUGCUAGAAUGCGCUGUAAUGAGCCGAAUGCUUAAGAUAACGGCACAUUCGAUCAUAAAUAUUUGUAAACCGAUAAUGGGAAGUUAUACGGAUAAUUGGACGAUACCACUCAAAAAAUAAAACCUACUCUAUAAAGAAGUAAUUUAAUUGAAUCUCUCUCUCUCUCUCUCCGCUUCUUGAUCACUCGAUCGAACCAUCGUAAAAGAAAUUUUCGCGACAUUUCACGCGACAACAGCAAACGAACAGCGGUGGGAGAGCAGAUUUGAGUAAUGUUUUUGUGUUAUGAAAUAAAGUGUAAUCAGCCAAUCCCGGCCGCUCCGAUCAGUUGGGGCCCGAUACCGCCCACGGUACAGAACUCAGCGAACGGAAGGGGGCCCACACUGAAGAAAUAAAUCAUUACCGAUGCUGUUCGUUUCCCUUUCGUUCGCGUUCGGGUUUGUUGCUCCAGUUUACUGGACUCUUGAGCCGGGUCGGUAAGCUUACGCUCGUUGCGCUUUGUUGGUAGAUUCAAUUAUAAAUGCUUGAUUAUGCGAACCAUCCGGGGCGGUAUGGGGCUGGUCUGGCCUUUUGCCACAUCCCGGAUACGUAGCGGGAAGCGCUCAUGUGUAGGUGCUCCGAUCAUCAUUUGGUGGUUGUAUCUCCAUCAGAUGGCCUAUUUGUUGCAGUUCGCGGCCUUCCGGCGGAUAUCAAUAAUUUGUCCUGCUAUGUGGGACUUUAACCGAUUCGACCCGAUGUUGAAGGUGCUAUUUAAGGGAUAAGAAAGAUUUAUGCCGGUGUUGUCCUUGCAGAAGGAAAUGAACAACAAAUUUUCCAAUUUAUUUCUUUCCUCCAGAACCAAUGUAUGAUUUUGGUUUUUGGUUUAACACAACAGGAAAAAAGUGAAAGUAAAAAGCGCAAAAAGGGUUGAUGCGAGCUCGCCCGCAGCGCUCAGUUCGUGCUGUGCGAAUUGCAUAACGAAAGGCGUUUAUAUGUUUUUGAAUAAUUCAGAAACAGGCAGUACCGAAAAACGGCAUUAGAGCAUUAAGUGUUAAAAGUUCGCAUAAAUGUUGCCUCUAACUGUAUUCGAACGUCCUUUAAAUGUAAUAUAUGUAGAAAUGAGCACGAACAAAACGAGUAUUGAUUUGUUUAAAAACUUUUAUUUCUCCCUAAGAUUGUGUUACAACUCGUACAAUUGUCUGUGGUUGUUUUGUGUAUGGUUCUGUUUAUCAACUUAUUCUAUAACGUUUCUUUUUCUUUCCAUUUCGUCACACGCCUAACGACUCCUUCCCGCGCUCUGCUCUGGAAGAAAUCUCACAAAUACACACACGCACUGUACAGAAACCAUUGAGCACAGUUCAAUGCAGAAAUACGUAUUCAACAUAAAUAAAAUAGUAAAACGAAUUUUUCAUAACUUACCACAUAAGUAGUUUACUUGUGAGUGCAGAUGUAAAAACAAUUUAGAAUUUAAAACAACAACGUCUUCUACUUUUUGAGCACACUCUAUCCUACCUGCACCAAUCACUCAACUCACAAAGCGAAACACUUGCUUUUGUACAUUGUUUUCACAUUGUACAUUACAACCGCACUACGUUGUGUCUUGUGUGACCGUUUUGUUCUAUUCCGAACGAGUUGACUUCACUUGUUGUUAAUCCCCAAAAAAAAAAUAAAUAAAAAAAACUCUCGCCCGUACCUGAAUGGCGCAUGAUGAUUGGCCACCAUUUGCUUUGUGAACCGAUUAAUUGAUUUCAAUCGGUUUUUAAACAUAUUCAUUCAUUAAUAUAAUUAUGUACACUACUUGUUUCCUUCUCUCUCUCUCUCUCUCUCGCGCGCGCGCGAACUCUAUUUGUUGUGGUUGUAAUCGGCCGCCUAUGCGAACUUUGGCACGGGAUCAGGCAUCUCGGUUGGGAACAGUGGGAAAGGAUGAUUUAAGGUUUGGCACGGUGUCUACAAGGAUGUGAGCAAGGAGACAGUGAUGAUAAUUAAAAGUCGUAUCCUGGUCAUUACAAAACCACGAUUACCGGCACAUCAAGCCGAAUCGAUUUCGCUCCUGCUGCUUAACCCUCACAAGAAGCUGGCUAAAGAGUACAGCGAGCUACUCCACUUUUCAAUUGGGAUCCUUUCAUCAGCUUAAUUGAACACAUUCAAAGCAAUGUUUAAAGGGCGGUAGCUGGUAGGAACCAAACGAA
Molecule: long non-coding RNA, 2861 nt
Organism: Anopheles stephensi (Asian malaria mosquito)
Lineage: Eukaryota; Metazoa; Arthropoda; Insecta; Diptera; Culicidae
Exons: 2
Source: RefSeq, a predicted model, not a curated record